AUUGAACGUUGGCGGCAGGCCUAAAACAUGCAAGUCGAACGGUAACAGCGAGAGCUUGCUCUCGGCUGACAAGUGGCGAACGGGUGAGUAACACGUAGGAAUCUGCCCAAUAGUGGGGGACGAACCCGGGAAACCCGGGCGUAAUACCGCAUACGCCCUCCUUAUCGGAAGAUAGGGGAGGAAAGCGGGGAGUCUUCGGACCUCGCGCUAUUGGAGGAGCCUGCGUCGGAUUAGCUAGUUGGUAGGGUAAGGCCUACCAAGGCGACGAUCCGUAGCUGGUCUGAGAGGACGAUCAGCCACACUGGAACUGAGACACGGUCCAGACUCCUACGGGAGGCAGCAGUUAGGAAUCUUGGGCAAUGGGCGCAAGCCUGACCCAGCCAUGCCGCGUGUGUGAAGAA
This 401-nucleotide ribosomal RNA is filed under the name uncultured bacterium. Its description in RNAcentral is "bacterial SSU rRNA". It matches the Rfam family "Bacterial small subunit ribosomal RNA", at positions 30 to 412 of the family's 1533-position model. The record is from RNAcentral.